CCUACGGGUUGCUGCAGUGGGGAAUAUUGGGCAAUGGGCGCAAGCCUGACCCAGCAACGCCGCGUGAAGGAAGAAGGCUUUCGGGUUGUAGACUUCUUUUAUCAGGGACGAAGAAAGUGACGGUACCUGAGGAAUAAGCCACGGUUAACUACGUGCCAGCAGCCGCGGUAAUACGUAGGGGGCAAGCGUUAUCCGGAGUUAUUGGGUGUAAAGGGCGUGGAGGCGGGGGCGAAAGUCAGAUGUGAAAUCUGAGGGCGUAACCCUGGGCCUGCAUUUGAAACUGUGUGUCUUGAGUGCUGGAGAGGCAAUCAGAAUUCCGUGUGUAGCGGUGAAAUGCGUAGAUAUACGGAGGAACACCAGUGGCGAAGGCGGAUUGCUGGACAGUAACUGACGCUGAGGCGCGAAAGCGUGGGGAGCAAACAGGAUUAGAUACCCCGGUAGUC
This 443-nucleotide ribosomal RNA is filed under the name uncultured bacterium. RNAcentral describes it as "partial 16S ribosomal RNA". It matches the Rfam family "Bacterial small subunit ribosomal RNA", at positions 338 to 795 of the family's 1533-position model. The record is from RNAcentral.